CAGGAUGAACGCUGGCGGCAUGCCUAAUACAUGCAAGUCGAACGAGAGGAAGGAAAGCUUGCUUUUCUGAAUCUAGUGGCGAACGGGUGAGUAACACGUAGGUAACCUGCCCAUGUGCCCGGGAUAACUUCUGGAAACGGAUGCUAAAACCGGAUAGGUAGCAGACAAGCAUUUGACUGCUAUUAAAGUGGCUAAGGCCAUGAACAUGGAUGGACCUGCGGUGCAUUAGCUAGUUGGUGAGGUAACGGCCCACCAAGGCGACGAUGCAUAGCCGGCCUGAGAGGGCGGACGGCCACAUUGGGACUGAGACACGGCCCAAACUCCUACGGGAGGCAGCAGUAGGGAAUUUUCGUCAAUGGGGGGAACCCUGAACGAGCAAUGCCGCGUGAGUGAGGAAGGUCUUCGGAUCGUAAAGCUCUGUUGUAAGAGAAAAACGGCACUCAUAGGGAAUGAUGAGUGAGUGAUGGUAUCUUACCAGAAAGUCACGGCUAACUACGUGCCAGCAGCCGCGGUAAUACGUAGGUGGCGAGCGUUAUCCGGAAUGAUUGGGCGUAAAGGGUGCGUAGGUGGCAGAUCAAGUCUGGAGUAAAAGGUAUGGGCUCAACCCGUACUGGCUCUGGAAACUGAUCAGCUAGAGAACAGAAGAGGACGGCGGAACUCCAUGUGUAGCGGUAAAAUGCGUAGAUAUAUGGAAGAACACCGGUGGCGAAGGCGGCCGUCUGGUCUGGAUUCUGACACUGAAGCACGAAAGCGUGGGGAGCAAAUAGGAUUAGAUACCCUAGUAGUCCACGCCGUAAACGAUGAGAACUAGGUGUUGGGGGAAUAACUCAGUGCCGCAGUUAACGCAAUAAGUUCUCCGCCUGGGGAGUAUGCACGCAAGUGUGCAACUCAAAUGAAUUGACGG
This 904-nucleotide ribosomal RNA is filed under the name uncultured Bacillota bacterium. RNAcentral's name for it is "bacterial SSU rRNA". It matches the Rfam family "Bacterial small subunit ribosomal RNA", at positions 25 to 916 of the family's 1533-position model. The record is from RNAcentral. Lineage: Bacteria; Bacillati; Bacillota.